AAACAUAGCCUAUUUACCUAACUUUAGGUACAACCCUGCCCUCUGAAAUUUUUAACAGCCGCGGUAUCCUAACCGUGCUAAGGUAGCAUAAUCAUUUGCCUAUUAAUUAUAGGCUAGCAUGAACGGGAUCACUCACUUAAAUUUAUUUUCACUACAAUUAAAAUUAAACUUUAAGUUAAAAUACUAAAUUUUUAAGAAAGACAAAAAGACCCUGAAAACUAUUAGAAAAUAAUUAGUUGGGGCAACUAUAGACCAUUAACAGCGUCUAUUAAAAUUCGAAUUUUAAAAUUCAAAGCAUACAGUUACUUCAGGGAUAACAGACUAAUUGUAUUAUUUAGACCUAAUAAAUAAUAAAGAUUGGCACCUCGAUGUUGGCUUAUAAUUCCUUCGUAUAGUAACAUAUAUUGAUGGCAGCUUGUUCAUCUGAUAAAUAUUUACAUGAGCUGAGUUCAGACC
Molecule: ribosomal RNA, 456 nt
Filed under: Stygocapitella sp. 396_01
Lineage: Eukaryota; Metazoa; Annelida; Polychaeta; Parergodrilidae
Description: partial large subunit ribosomal RNA
Rfam family: Bacterial large subunit ribosomal RNA
Source: RNAcentral